This 275-nucleotide ribosomal RNA is filed under the name uncultured bacterium. RNAcentral's name for it is "partial 16S ribosomal RNA". It matches the Rfam family "Bacterial small subunit ribosomal RNA", at positions 79 to 353 of the family's 1533-position model. The record is from RNAcentral.
CUAAGUUUGAUGGCGACCGGCGCACGGGUGAGUAACACGUAUCCAACCUGCCGAUGACUCGGGGAUAGCCUUUCGAAAGAAAGAUUAAUACCCGAUGGCAUAGUUCUUCCGCAUGGUGGAACUAUUAAAGAAUUUCGGUCAUCGAUGGGGAUGCGUUCCAUUAGGUUGUUGGCGGGGUAACGGCCCACCGAGCCUUCGAUGGAUAGGGGUUCUGAGAGGAAGGUCCCCCACAUUGGAACUGAGACACGGCCCAAACUCCUACGGGAGGCAGCAUG